RNAcentral lists this ribosomal RNA (259 nucleotides) under uncultured bacterium. RNAcentral's name for it is "partial 16S ribosomal RNA". It matches the Rfam family "Bacterial small subunit ribosomal RNA", at positions 96 to 354 of the family's 1533-position model. The record is from RNAcentral.
UGGCGGACGGGUGAGUAACGCGUGGGUAACCUGCCUCACACAGGGGGAUAACAGUUGGAAACGACCGCUAAUACCGCAUAACCCGCCGGUAUCGCAUGAUACUGACGGAAAAGAUUUUAUCGGUGUGAGAUGGACCCGCGUCUGAUUAGCCAGUUGGCAGGGUAACGGCCUACCAAAGCGACGAUCAGUAGCCGGCCUGAGAGGGUGAACGGCCACAUUGGGACUGAGACACGACCCAAACUCCUACGGAAGGCAGCAG